UUUGUCAGCAGAUUUGUUUGGUGUAGAGAGAGGGGAUUUGUGAUGUGGUGCCUCUGCUAAAUGCUCAUGUGGGUAUAAGUAUAGUUUAAUAUUUUGAGAGGUUAUGAGGUUUUCUUUUUCCAGAGUAUUUAACACCAGGAAGAGAUGCUAGACAGACAGUCCUGAAGAAUAGAAUCCUCUAUCUAUCUACAGACCAGGAGUAACACCAGCUGCUCAGCAUCAGAAUGAGUUCUGACAGCCGUAUUUAACAUAGCUGCUGGCAGCAGCAUGCAUGCCAAAGACGACAGCCACUGUACUGGCGUGUUUCCAGCUAUACUGGAAUAAGCGCGAGUUACUUCGCUACUUUGCUGACUGUCCAGUAUGGACGGGAGGGUCCCAAGUUUAGACACUUAUCCCAGGAACAAACAUUGUGUCUAAGCCAGUUCCUAGGGCUCCCAUGAUAGAAGAGCAGAUGCGCAGAGAUAAGCGGUUGGAGGCUGGAAACUCUCGCUGAGGCACAGUCUGGCAAAGACCCUGUUUUACAGCUGACUCUGCUUCACCCCCCACACUUGAUGAUCGUUGCUGCCCAGCUGAAUUUUCUUCCCCUGCCCUCCUUGGUGCAGUUCACCUGCUGAAACUCCUGGUAGCAUUUGUGGGAAGAGGGUCAGAUCGUUUAGGAAAUGCUGAAUGAGAGAGAGAGAGAUCUCGGGACAGCUCCUUCCCACCCAUCUCGUGAUGACUCAGAAUGACCUGCAGUGGAACAGCAGGCUGGGAAGAAGGGGAUUUGAGUGAGGGAAGGAUGGUCCAGUGGUUCCGAUGCUAGCGUGGAACUUGGGAGGCAUGGGUUCGGACUUAUUGUAUGAUCUUGGCCAUAUCACUUUAGCCUCUCUGUGCCUCAGUUCCUCAUCUGUAGAAUGGGGAUAAUAGCACCACACUACAUCCCAGGAUAAAUACAUCAAAGAUUACUAUGGGAAUGAGGGUCAUAUAAGUACCUUAGCUUUCUAGAAGAUAGAUGACAUGCUACAGCUCGCAGACAUAUGAUGCCAGCUGAUCUACAUGCAAUUGUUCAGGAGGAAAGGGGAUGAGCCUUACAGCUGAGGAGUGGACCAGUGCUUUGGAACUCUGCCAUAGAAGUAGAGACAGUGUCUAUACCACUGUGGUCAACAAGAUUGUCAGCCUGAAAGUGUCAGGGUCACACCCACCAGGUCAAAGGCAUUCUAGCAAUGUGGCCCAGUAUGGUAGCAAUUUAUUGGUUUGAUAUUACAUCAUCCCAUCAUGACGUAACGUUACACCAUGAUCAUGUUGAAUCAGCCCAUACCGUUUAAAGGGUAACAUUACGUAAUGGGCAUGUGGACCCUUUUUACUGCAGGUGUCAACUGUUUCGUGAAAGAGACUUGUGGGGAUAGGAUUAAAAUAUUGUUACGUGGAAAAGAUCAUGUGGAUGGCUUACUAUUUCUAACUUGGGGAAUCUUUGUCCUUCUAAGGGGUCCUUAUUUUUUUAAAGCUAUGCCUCAAAUCCCUUAUAUAUCAUACAGUGAAGUAACCUGCCAUCCUUGAAAUCCGAUUAACAUUAUGGCUGAGUUCAAAAACAAAUGUUUGUGAUUGCAAAAUGAAAAU
This is a long non-coding RNA of Chelonia mydas (Green sea turtle), 1596 nucleotides long. RefSeq lists it as uncharacterized. NCBI's taxonomy places the organism in Eukaryota, Metazoa, Chordata, Testudines, Cheloniidae. The transcript has 3 exons. The record is from RefSeq and is a predicted model, not a curated record.